AACGAACGCUGGCGGCAUGCCUAACACAUGCAAGUCGAACGAGAACUUCGGGUCUAGUGGCGCACGGGUGCGUAACGCGUGGGAACCUGCCCUUAGGUUCGGAAUAACUCCACGAAAGGGGUGCUAAUACCGGAUAAUGUCUUCGGACCAAAGAUUUAUCGCCUUUGGAUGGGCCCGCGUUGGAUUAGCUAGUUGGUAGGGUAAAAGCCUACCAAGGCGACGAUCCAUAGCUGGUCUGAGAGGAUGAUCAGCCACACUGGGACUGAGGCACGGCCCAGACUCCUACGGGAGGCAGCAGUGGGGAAUAUUGGACAAUGGGCGAAAGCCUGAUCCAGCAAUGCCGCGUGAGUGAUGAAGGCCUUAGGGUUGUAAAGCUCUUUUACCCGGGAUGAUAAUGACAGUACCGGGAGAAUAAGCUCCGGCUAACUCCGUG
This 433-nucleotide ribosomal RNA is filed under the name uncultured bacterium. Its description in RNAcentral is "partial 16S ribosomal RNA". It matches the Rfam family "Bacterial small subunit ribosomal RNA", at positions 29 to 507 of the family's 1533-position model. The record is from RNAcentral.